This 3571-nucleotide long non-coding RNA is filed under the name Homo sapiens (human). RNAcentral's name for it is "HSALNT0329742". The record is from RNAcentral. Lineage: Eukaryota; Metazoa; Chordata; Mammalia; Primates; Hominidae.
AUCAAAACAAAACAAAAACACUAAAUAAUAAAAUAGGCAAGCAAAAGAAAAUAAAUGGAACAACACAAUAAACUCUCCAACAAAUCAAAAUAACUUAAGCAACAUUUUAAAAGAAUGCAGAGUUUAGGUUAUUGUAUGAAUUUAAAAUAUUCUCACUAAUGUGACAUUUUAAUACAUUUAAAAUACUGUACAUUGCUAAACCUGCUUUAUCUUACUUCUCUUUCCUCUUUUUUUCCGAAUGAAGCUACUGUCAAAUUCUUCAGUUGUUCACUUUUAAAUAGAUCUAAUGUCCUAUUUUUCAGACCACUGAACCUAUAUAAUAUCCAUGAAGCUAGUAUAACUCUGCAGACAUCCUAGCUAUUCAGGCAAUGUUAUAAAGGCAUCAUCAUUGUUCAUUUGUCUGAUCUCUAUGUAUCUUGUCAUCUUUCCAGGGUAAGAUUGCCAAGGUCUUGGACUCUUCAUUUGGUGGAGUCUAAUUCUGUUCUCUUUACAAAGAGCUAGGGUUACACUCAGCAAAGGUUACCAUUUACGUGAGACAUGAAGCCGGCUAGCGUAACGCAUCACCAAAGUAAAACCCCUGGCUAUUUUUUCCCUCAAGGACAUCCCCAGUGCCACAUAAAAUCAAGAAAGAACACUUCAGGAUAGGUCACACGUAGGGCCUGCAUGUACUAUGAACCCACACUUUCAUUUUUAUAUUCUGGAGUGCGCUAUUUUCAGAACAGUCAGACAAAGGGGUAUUUUUCCUUUUGAAAAAUCUCCUUUUCUCUCCCCUAGAGGAAAAUACAUGAGAAUCAAAUGUAAGAGACUACAGUGGCUUUAGCAAGAGAAGCCAAUAUUUAAGGGUGAGCUUUCUUUUAGAAAUUAUUCCUUUUUGUGUUUGGCUUUGCUUUAUCAUUUACUCAAAUUAGUUAUCAAAGAUUUUUAAUAAAUAAAUAAUAUUUUAAAUUGUUUCAGUAAUUUCUAAGACUCAGCUCAUUAUCUUUCAAACCUCUGCAUUCUGAAGUGGCAGUCAAAGCCAGUGCCCUAAGUGCUGACUGCUUUUGCUUUAAGCACUAACGUUCAUCUUUCUUUCUCUUAUCCUCGGAUGGAAAUUCAUCUACUCUGGUAAUUCUGAAAAUUGGAGAUUUUAAAGCAUGAUCGGGCUUCGAGAUUUUUUUUAAAUGUUUAAAAAUAGCAAAUAUUAAACCUAGAAGAAACCUUAGGGACCAUCUCACUUCUGAUAUAACUGAGACCCCAAAAGUCUUGCCCAAAUCAUAACUAAUAAACGACAGCCAUAAAACAGAAUCCAGAUUGCCUUAAUCUUGAAUUAGUGCUCUCUUUCACCAUAUUACUUGAUCUUUCUAUAUUUUUAUCCAUUUCAGAUACAGAUUAUAUAACUCAGCAAUAUGCCCAAAGUAAGAUUCAGGGCAUUUCUUUGUUCCAUUAGUCAUCACUGUCUUUUUUCAUUGGUUGGAAGAUCAGGGACAGGAAACAGGAAACUCCUUCUUGGCCUCCCCACCCCAUGGAUUAAAUGGUAGCAGGGGCUGCCUGGUGCCUUGCCCAUGAAGCUUGACUAUUCAUGCUUAGAAGGAGGAGCAUCAUGAACAUUAAGAAACCAGGUGCUCAGGGAAGUAAGGAAGUUUUAUCUCUGGAAUUGUGGUUGAAAUGUGCUACAGAAAUUUCAGGGUAAGUGCAGAAUCUCAUGUGGAUGUGCAUUUGUUGCGUGUGAAUAUAGUGAAAGUUCCACUUUAAAAAAUACCAAAAAAAAAAAAAAAACCUAAGACUUUGCAGACAAACUUUUAAGUGAUUAUUUGCUUUAUAGGUUAUUUCUUCUAGACAACGUGUUUCAUAACACACCCUGAUUACCAGACUGAGACAAAAGAAAUUUAAAGUGAAACAAUUAGGAACCAUAAUCCACUAAUAAUUGGUUAAAAAGGCAAAAAAAGUAUUAAAAUGAUUAUGCAAAUGUAGAGAAAUUUAAGAAUUAUAGGUAAAAAUGUGUGCUACAUUCAAAUGUGUAUACAGUGAGGCAUUUCUAUCAAAGUCGCCUCUAAUCUUUCUUUCACUUGACGGUGUUUGGUUUUGUUUCCCCCACAGGAUAAAGAAGAAAACCACUAGAGUUUCUCUGACCAUCAGCUCCCCAACGAAUGAAACCUCCAACAACAGAUCAAGUUACUCUAACUUAGUUCAACAACUGUAUAUUAAUCCCUAGAGGAUGCAGAGUCCCUGCAGCAGCCUGUCAGGAUCCACUUGUGUAGUACCCUCUGUGUUUACCAAGCAUCUUCAAGACAUCCCUACAACCAGAGGUCAGUUGGUCAUGUUUGAAUGCGGAAUCCAGGCCACAGCCACAGUUCAAGUUCACUGAGAAAUUAGGAAAAAAUGAUUCUCUUCGGUGAAAAAGGCCACCUCAGUAUUAGUGUGUUCAACAGUGGUUCAUAUUCAGAGAAGAUAUAGUCAUCUGGUCUAAUCUUCACAUUAGGGAUGAAGAAAGUCUGGGUAAGUAAAGUAAUUUUCACAAGGUCACAGAGCAAUUUAGUGAUAAAAGCAGAACUAAAAUCAAGUUCUUCUACCCUGCCACUUAUUCAUUCCUUUAUGCACCUUUUCUGAGUUUCUGAAGAAUUUACUUACCGUCUGUGACUCCAGAUUAGUCAAUUUUGUAUUUGUUUCCAGGUAUUUCUCAUAUACAUAUGGCCCCUUCUCCCAACUAAAUUAUCAUCACUUAAAUUCUCUCUCUUUUUUCUUGUUUUAUCUUUCAGAAGUUUAUCAUCCAUUCCUGGUAAGUAUAAUUUCUUAAAAUCUUGAAAAUUGAUUAAAUCAACAUUAGCAUCAGAAGACAUUGUCCCCUAAGUCACUCUUGCCUUCAUGAGCUCUUUUGAGGCUCCCCUACAUCAACUCUUGAACUGACACAACAGAAGAAGCAAGACAGCUGGGAUUUAUCAGUGUUUUUAUUCAUAUAUUUAUUCAUUCAACAUAGGUUUACUGAGUACAGACUAAUGGUUAGUCUCUGUUCUUGGUAUUAAGGAGACAGCAAUGAACCAGACUGACAAGGUCCCCACUCUCAAAGAAUAUGCAUUCUCCCUGUAAUCCCACUUGGUUUAGGAUUUGUGACUCGUGAACUUUAUACAGAAGCAAUAAGGAGAUGUCCUGACAUCGAACAUCCAAACUGCUCACUGUCCAAGAAGUAGUUGUGGUGACCAUCACACUGUGGCCAUCUCUGUAUUAACAUGAGGUCUAAGCGUGAUGGUAGUGAUAAUUUCUAGUUCAGUUCAGAAUAUGUUUCCAUAGGACUAAAGCUACAGAAAUCUAGAAAUCAAGGAAUAAAAUGUAAUCCCUGCUUUCAAGGAUUUCAUAGUCUAGUAGAGAAAACAAACAUGUCUAAGAGGCAGUUGAUAAGAACCAUGAUGGGACUGUUUAAGACUUUUUUUUAAUUUUAUUGAUAUAUAUUAGAGGUACAUAUUUUCAAGGUAUAUGUAAUAAUAUAUUCAUAUAAUGAAAUCAGGGUAAAUGAGAUAUGCAUCACCUAAAUUACUUUUCUUUACACUAGAAACAUUCAAAUUAUUCUCUUCUAGCUAUUUUGAAAUGUACAAUUAAU